AUUGCCGCCAGCCGUGCCCCAAUCGUCGAUCAGUGCGGCGGCGAUCAGCAAUCAGCCCGAGCGCCGUGCCAUGUGCUAGUCCCCGUGUGCUCCGAGUGUAAACAAGAAGGUGUCCGAUCCUGCAGGUGAAAGAAAAAGAAGAAAAAAACUUUUUCUUACAAUCCCGGUUUUACCAACAGGAGUGAAGUGUUCUGGAUACUUUGAAUUCUUCUCCAGCUUUCUGCUCAAUUCACGGUUGUUUUUAGUGUACCGCUCUCGAGAAAUAUUACUGUGUAGUGAAAAAUGGUUAGACGAAGAUUGGAAAUAGAGGAUCCGGGGCGAGCAGAGCGGAGGGCUAAAAGGAUGUGUCGAAUCAAAACAGCAGUUGUCAUAUUUGUCAUACUAAUUUUGCUCUUCGUUUAUCUCGGGGUCGCCUACUUCGAUGCUAUCUCAGCGUGGAUAAAAUCGUCAGAUGGAAGUUCAGAGGAGAUCACCCCCUCGGCAUCGGUAGAGCAAUACUUCAAAAAAUUCUCCGUCUGCACGGACGCACCGCCCUGUUCGACAGUUGGCAAGGAUAUCCUGGAGAAGAACGGGUCUGCUGUAGAUGCUGCGAUUGCAUCAAUGUUAUGCAACGGGAUCUACAACGCGCAUAGCACUGGAAUCGGAGGGGUUUCCAAAUGCUCAUUUACAGCAGAGAAACACGGAAUAUCUCUAUUCUCGACGCAAGAGGGUUGCUCCUCUCCUCUCUAAUAAACUAUGUUCGAAAAUCAAACCGGAAAGUCAAGAAGUGGUAUGUAAACAAGCUUCCUCUAACAAAUUGUAGGAUUCACCGACCAUAUUUUCUAGAUAGGUCUUAUCAAUAUUUUAAACGACACUUGUAGUUUAGGAAUCAGAGGAGAUUUUCAAAUCCUUGCACCUUAGCAGAGACACAAGGAUAUAAAUAAUAAUGAUUUGAAUUCAAUGAUAUUUAAAACAAUGUAUUAGCGUGUACAUGAUGUCUCAUUGAGUCGUACAUAUCUAUAUUUUUACACUCUCAUGCAAAACAUGAUCACAAUUAUAGGUAAACUUACUUUUUAGUCUUCGGUCCUGAUUUUUUAGAUUGUUUUAGAUGAUGAUCAUUUCGGACCCACACGUGGGUUCAUCUUCAGUCGAAUCCGCGCCGCGCUACCUUUCCUCAUGAACUGGGCCAAAAUGUGGUCAUUCUGUGAAAUGGGCAACGAUAAAGGUCCUGACUCUGCGAACGGGGCAAGCCAUUUUUGUGAUCACCAGGAAAAAUAAAGACAUGAGAAAAUUUACGAUUAGGAUGAUGGUAAAUGUACAAAAUUCUGCUGAAGUACGGUUUUCUUGAAGUUCAUCAUAUGUCUAUUGAAUAAAUGUCAAUAGGUAUACUUUUGAAAAUUUAUUUCAAUUGAUCAAGUUCCGAAACAAAUUUACACAAAACUAUUGCUAUUGCUAUCUCCGGAAAUAAUUGCUGAAACUUCCGUCAAAUGUAUAAAUUACUUACUUAAGGGCCGUCCAUAAAUUAUGUAAAGCUCUUAGGGUAGCGGGUCCCUCAAAGAAUUACGGUGCCUUACGAGGGGAGGGGGGACUAAGCUUUACGUAAGCUUUCCAGCCUAUAUUUCAAGAAACUGCAAAAAUCCAUUUAUCGUCAGGUUGAUAUUAAAAUUCAAGAUGAAAUAGAGGAAUUCAGCACAUCACCGAUUACUGACUGAUCGGACCAGGCUCCUGUCAUUCCUCUUGAUUCCCACUUCUCCACUCCGUGGGGGUGAUGAGUAGUGACUUCAUCCUUAUAUCAACUUUAUACUUUUAACUAUUCAUAAGAAGAAAAAAAAUCUUCAAUGUUGCUCUACGUAUUUUUGUUUAUUAAUCCAACUGUAUCACUAAUAUUUCCUAUGAACUUACUUCAAUUUAGUUUCACUAAUAAAAAUUGUGGCCUAGAAAUGUCAUUGUUUUUCUAAAAGAAAACAUAAUGCUUCAAUCUGCAGUUGAAAAGGGGGGGGGGGGGAUCAGUCGAACCUUACAUAAUUUUUAGAGGGAGGAGGGUAUACAGGAUGCCAUACGGUACCUUACGAGGGGAGAGGGCCGGAGAGGGUCUAAUAAUGGGAAAAGUGCCUUACAUAUAUUUUUGGAUGGCCCCUUACAGUAAUUACGAAUUUUUACACGAAAUUUUCAAGUGGUACGUCGAAUUACAUUUGCGUUUAUUUUUAAGGAACUUACAACAUUUAGUUUUGCAGUCCAAUUUCCGAUAGUUGCUUUGGUGAUAACAACCCUCUGUUGCAUCUUUAGGUGCUCUUGCAAGUGGAGUUCCCGGAGAGAUGGCUGGCUAUUGGGAAGCAUGGAGUAGUUUCGGGAAACUGAAAUGGGCCGAAUUGUUUGCUCCGGCUUUGGAAAUGUGUAAAACAGGUUACAAGAUCUCUCAAAGCCAAGUCAACGCGUUCACUUUCAAUGAAACGUCAUUCAGAAGAAUGUUUUCCUCGUGUAAGUUGACAUUCUAGCUUA
This 2478-nucleotide long non-coding RNA is filed under the name Bemisia tabaci. Its description in RNAcentral is "lncRNA ENSSSA3NGG011417". Lineage: Eukaryota; Metazoa; Arthropoda; Insecta; Hemiptera; Aleyrodidae. The record is from RNAcentral.